ACGGGAGGCAGCAGUGGGGAAUAUUGCACAAUGGGGGCAACCCUGAUGCAGCAACGCCGCGUGAGUGAAGAAGUAUUUCGGUAUGUAAAGCUCUAUCAGCAGGGAAGAUAAUGACGGUACCUGACUAAGAAGCACCGGCUAAAUACGUGCCAGCAGCCGCGGUAAUACGUAUGGUGCAAGCGUUAUCCGGAUUUACUGGGUGUAAAGGGUGCGUAGGUGGCAUGGUAAGUCAGAUGUGAAAUACCGGGGCUCACCCCCGGGGCUGCAUUUGAAACUGCCAGGCUGGAGUACAGGAGAGGCAAGCGGAAUUCCUAGUGUAGCGGUGAAAUGCGUAGAUAUUAGGAGGAACACCAGUGGCGAAGGCGGCUUGCUGGACUGUUACUGACACUGAGGCACGAAAGCGUGGGGAGCAAACAGGAUUAGAUACCCUGGUA
Molecule: ribosomal RNA, 434 nt
Filed under: uncultured Lachnospiraceae bacterium
Lineage: Bacteria; Bacillati; Bacillota; Clostridia; Lachnospirales; Lachnospiraceae
Description: bacterial SSU rRNA
Rfam family: Bacterial small subunit ribosomal RNA
Source: RNAcentral